CUCAGAAAACACAGAAACUUGAAAUUCAGCCUUCCUUCCCUUGGGUCGACCCAACCAUUCUUUGGGUCGACUCAAAGUUCACUUGGGUCGACUCAACUUCUUCUUGGGUCGACUCUCUCAGUAAUUCCAGAGAACUAUUUCCUGACUUCUUUUUCUGUUUUGCCUUUGGGUCGACCCUCUCAGGGUUUGGGUCGACUCAAGCUUGGGUCGACUCAACCACUGUUUGGGUCGACCCUCUCAGUAAAUCCAGAGAGCCAUUUUUCUGUUUUGUUUCAAGAAUCUUGGUGUUUGGGUCGACUCAUGCUUUCCUUGGGUCGACCCAACUCACUGUUCAUCUGUGCCAAUUUUGCAGAAGUGUGCCAAAUGACUUCUUGAUG
RNAcentral lists this long non-coding RNA (377 nucleotides) under Phoenix dactylifera (date palm). RNAcentral's name for it is "long non-coding RNA (PDAC_LNC011618)". Lineage: Eukaryota; Viridiplantae; Streptophyta; Magnoliopsida; Arecales; Arecaceae. The record is from RNAcentral.